This is a long non-coding RNA of Macaca mulatta (Rhesus monkey), 1627 nucleotides long. NCBI's taxonomy places the organism in Eukaryota, Metazoa, Chordata, Mammalia, Primates, Cercopithecidae. The record is from Ensembl.
CGCACAUCACAUGCACCCAGGAGAGAAACUCAAGCACCAAGACAGCAAACAAUGGCAAAGAGACAGCAUAGGAAGUAUGCAGUUGUUUACCAUUUUGGGGGCAAAUGCUCAUUAACGUUUACUUUUUCCAUUGCAGAUAUGUAUUUUGUGUAAUUCUUCAGGGCCAAGUCCACUGAUGUCACAAUAAACAUAUUGUCUCUAAGUUCCAUUAGCGUCCUGCCAUAUCUUGGGAGCUUUCUUCCCAGGGGAAGGGAUCAGUUGCUUGUUUCAAUGAGAAGAAUAUUGAGACGUCAGUUAUUUUUUUCCCACAAAGAAUACGGUAGAGCCAUACAGCUAUGGAUGAUGACACAAUUAAACAGGCAAGAGAUUUCAAUCACAUUACAUCACUGCUCCUAGGAAAAGACAGAUAAGAAAAGCAUGCCUGGGCUAAUCUGUUUCUGACCUUUGUCAUUCAGAGAGAACCUCCUGGAAUGUAAGUGUUGCACAAAGGAUACCUGGGAUUGUCUCCGUAUGAGGCAGCAUUGCUUGGAACACUAGGUGUUUUCAUUUGUUGAUCUUGGAUGGGGUUGGCAGCUAGAGAGAUGGCUAUCAAAUUAUAAGUUGGGCUGGGCUGAAGUCUCCAUUACCUGUGCUGGAGGCAGGAAAAGGAAAUAGAGAGACAUAUGCCCAUGCCACCGUUAGAAAUUUUGUCUGAUGCAUGGAUUUAACAGUUUUGGAGUAUAGCUUGGUUUUGAGAAAGUAGGCAAGAUUUCUGUUUUAUUUAGCUUGCAAGCACAGGAAAUUUGCAUUGGCCCUUGUCGCCUGCCUAUCUAAUUAACAGAGUCUCUUUGGAUAUACAUGCUCUUUGUUUUAUUUGCUUACCCAAAUAUAUGCUUUAAAUGCAACCCUAUCCCUCUCUCUAUCCAUCUGUUUAUUUAUUUAUGACAAUUCUUCUUUUGGUUGUCAAGGUCCAGCUUCUGCUCGCCCACCUGUAUCUGAGUUAAAUCUGAAGGUAAAUGGAACAGGCUUGCUCUUUGGUGGCGCCACCUAGUGGUCUCCCAUGGCAACACAGUUCUCAGCAAUCAAAUGACUAAGGACUUUGAUGUCAGAAUAUUAUGUAGGUUGGUGGGGGAAGUACAGAAAAGAAACGCACCGACAUUUAUUAAGUUCCAGUUGCUAGGCUCAGAAUUUCACACAUUUCAUCUUUCUUAAACUUUAUAAAACUCUAUGUGGUAGAUAAUAUCAUUUCCUAAAUACUGCUAUUCAUAGCUAGCAUUCAUUGAAUGCAUCCUAUGGGCAGGGCACUGUGCUAGAUGCUUUAUAUACCAUUGACUCAUCUGUCCUAGUAACAACCCAUGAGGCGUGAAUUAUGUGGUCUUUUGAGUCUAAUUGCCAGGAUCUGUAACAGGCCCCAGCCCUUUCAAGCUAUCCCUAUUUCAUUUUCCUCACCUAUAAUAAUAGCACAUACGUCAUAAAGCAGUUGUGAGAAACAAAUAAGACUUCUAAAGUACUUCAGAAAGUGUCUGACACCUAAUAAGCGUUAAAUAUAUGCCAAAUAGCAGCCAAGACUUUUGCCCCAGUGCAGCUAAACAUUGCUGGACAAAAACCCAACUAUGCUGACUGGUCUUCUAAAUUUCAUAUUGUUAAA